CUGUGAGCUCGAUGAGUAGGGCGGGACACGUGGUAUCCUGUCUGAAUAUGGGGGGACCAUCCUCCAAGGCUAAAUACUCCUGACUGACCGAUAGUGAACCAGUACCGUGAGGGAAAGGCGAAAAGAACCCCGGCGAGGGGAGUGAAAAAGAACCUGAAACCGUGUACGUACAAGCAGUGGGAGCACGCUUAGGCGUGUGACUGCGUACCUUUUGUAUAAUGGGUCAGCGACUUAUAUUCUGUAGCAAGGUUAACCGAAUAGGGGAGCCGAAGGGAAACCGAGUCUUAACUGGGCGUUAAGUUGCAGGGUAUAGACCCGAAACCCGGUGAUCUAGCCAUGGGCAGGUUGAAGGUUGGGUAACACUAACUGGAGGACCGAACCGACUAAUGUUGAAAAAUUAGCGGAUGACUUGUGGCUGGGGGUGAAAGGCCAAUCAAACCGGGAGAUAGCUGGUUCUCCCCGAAAGCUAUUUAGGUAGCGCCUCGUGAAUUCAUCUCCGGGGGUAGAGCACUGUUUCGGCAAGGGGGUCAUCCCGACUUACCAACCCGAUGCAAACUGCGAAUACCGGAGAAUGUUAUCACGGGAGACACACGGCGGGUGCUAACGUCCGUCGUGAAGAGGGAAACAACCCAGACCGCCAGCUAAGGUCCCAAAGUCAUGGUUAAGUGGGAAACGAUGUGGGAAGGCCCAGACAGCCAGGAUGUUGGCUUAGAAGCAGCCAUCAUUUAAAGAAAGCGUAAUAGCUCACUGGUCGAGUCGGCCUGCGCGGAAGAUGUAACGGGGCUAAACCAUGCACCGAAGCUGCGGCAGCGACGCUUAUGCGUUGUUGGGUAGGGGAGCGUUCUGUAAGCCUGCGAAGGUGUGCUGUGAGGCAUGCUGGAGGUAUCAGAAGUGCGAAUGCUGACAUAAGUAACGAUAAAGCGGGUGAAAAGCCCGCUCGCCGGAAGACCAAGGGUUCCUGUCCAACGUUAAUCGGGGCAGGGUGAGUCGACCCCUAAGGCGAGGCCGAAAGGCGUAGUCGAUGGGAAACAGGUUAAUAUUCCUGUACUUGGUGUUACUGCGAAGGGGGGACGGAGAAGGCUAUGUUGGCCGGGCGACGGUUGUCCCGGUUUAAGCGUGUAGGCUGGUUUUCCAGGCAAAUCCGGAAAACUAAGGCUGAGGCGUGAUGACGAGGCACUACGGUGCUGAAGCAACAAAUGCCCUGCUUCCAGGAAAAGCCUCUAAGCAUCAGGUAACAUCAAAUCGUACCCCAAACCGACACAGGUGGUCAGGUAGAGAAUACCAAGGCGCUUGAGAGAACUCGGGUGAAGGAACUAGGCAAAAUGGUGCCGUAACUUCGGGAGAAGGCACGCUGAUAUGUAGGUGAAGUCCCUCGCGGAUGGAGCUGAAAUCAGUCGAAGAUACCAGCUGGCUGCAACUGUUUAUUAAAAACACAGCACUGUGCAAACACGAAAGUGGACGUAUACGGUGUGACGCCUGCCCGGUGCCGGAAGGUUAAUUGAUGGGGUCAGCGCAAGCGAAGCUCUUGAUCGAAGCCCCGGUAAACGGCGGCCGUAACUAUAACGGUCCUAAGGUAGCGAAAUUCCUUGUCGGGUAAGUUCCGACCUGCACGAAUGGCGUAAUGAUGGCCAGGCUGUCUCCACCCGAGACUCAGUGAAAUUGAACUCGCUGUGAAGAUGCAGUGUACCCGCGGCAAGACGGAAAGACCCCGUGAACCUUUACUAUAGCUUGACACUGAACAUUGAGCCUUGAUGUGUAGGAUAGGUGGGAGGCUUUGAAGUGUGGACGCCAGUCUGCAUGGAGCCGACCUUGAAAUACCACCCUUUAAUGUUUGAUGUUCUAACGUUGACCCGUGAUCCGGGUUGCGGACAGUGUCUGGUGGGUAGUUUGACUGGGGCGGUCUCCUCCUAAAGAGUAACGGAGGAGCACGAAGGUUGGCUAAUCCUGGUCGGACAUCAGGAGGUUAGUGCAAUGGCAUAAGCCAGCUUGACUGCGAGCGUGACGGCGCGAGCAGGUGCGAAAGCAGGUCAUAGUGAUCCGGUGGUUCUGAAUGGAAGGGCCAUCGCUCAACGGAUAAAAGGUACUCCGGGGAUAACAGGCUGAUACCGCCCAAGAGUUCAUAUCGACGGCGGUGUUUGGCACCUCGAUGUCGGCUCAUCACAUCCUGGGGCUGAAGUAGGUCCCAAGGGUAUGGCUGUUCGCCAUUUAAAGUGGUACGCGAGCUGGGUUUAGAACGUCGUGAGACAGUUCGGUCCCUAUCUGCCGUGGGCGCUGGAGAACUGAGGGGGGCUGCUCCUAGUACGAGAGGACCGGAGUGGACGCAUCACUGGUGUUCGGGUUGUCAUGCCAAUGGCACUGCCCGGUAGCUAAAUGCGGAAGAGAUAAGUGCUGAAAGCAUCUAAGCACGAAACUUGCCCCGAGAUGAGUUCUCCCUGACUCCUUGAGAGUCCUGAAGGAACGUUGAAGACGACGACGUUGAUAGGCCGG
Molecule: ribosomal RNA, 2487 nt
Filed under: Escherichia coli
Lineage: Bacteria; Pseudomonadati; Pseudomonadota; Gammaproteobacteria; Enterobacterales; Enterobacteriaceae
Description: partial 23S ribosomal RNA
Rfam family: Bacterial large subunit ribosomal RNA
Source: RNAcentral